This 416-nucleotide ribosomal RNA is filed under the name uncultured eukaryote. RNAcentral's name for it is "SSU rRNA". It matches the Rfam family "Eukaryotic small subunit ribosomal RNA", at positions 592 to 1018 of the family's 1831-position model. The record is from RNAcentral.
CAAUAGCGUAUAUUAAAGUUGUUGCAGUUAAAAAGCUCGUAGUUGGAUUUCUGGCCGAGUGUCCCCAAGCAGACAGACGUCUUGUCUUGGGCGCUCUGCCAUCCUUCUGUUAACCUUCGCCUCGUUCGUUCGUGGCGCUGGGGCUCAGAUAUUUUACCUUGAGAAAAUUAGAGUGUUUCAGGCAGGCUUUCGCCGGAAUACAUUAGCAUGGAAUAAUGGAAAAGGACUUCAACCUCUUCUGUUGGUCUGAGAGGCUGUAGUAAUGAUUAAUAGGGAUAGUUGGGGGCAUUAGUACUUAACUGUCAGAGGUGAAAUUCUCCGAUUUGUUAAAGACUAACUUAUGCGAAAGCAUUUGCCAAGGAUGUUUUCAUUAAUCAAGAACGAAAGUUAGGGGAUCAAAGACGAUUAGAUACCAU